This 269-nucleotide ribosomal RNA is filed under the name uncultured Lactobacillaceae bacterium. Its description in RNAcentral is "partial 16S ribosomal RNA". It matches the Rfam family "Bacterial small subunit ribosomal RNA", at positions 74 to 339 of the family's 1533-position model. Lineage: Bacteria; Bacillati; Bacillota; Bacilli; Lactobacillales; Lactobacillaceae. The record is from RNAcentral.
ACGAUGGACAUUGCAAAGAGUGGCGAACGGGUGAGUAACACGUGGGAAACCUACCUCUUAGCAGGGGAUAACAUUUGGAAACAGAUGCUAAUACCGUAUAACAAUAGCAACCGCAUGGUUGCUACUUAAAAGAUGGCUCUGCUAUCACUUCUGGAUGGACCCGCGGCGUAUUAGCUAGUUGGUGAGGUAAAGGCUCACCAAGGCAGUGAUACGUAGCCGACCUGAGAGGGUAAUCGGCCACAUUGGGACUGAGACACGGCCCAGACUCC